ACAAAUGUGGAGGAAAAUGAGUUUGAGAUCUUUAUGGGUAAACUCAAGGGUAAAUCCAAGAAGCACUUCGUUGCUCUCUUGGAACAACUUGGUGAAGCCAAUGACAUGAUCGAGGCUCACGAAGAUACCAUCUCUAAGAUGGAGGGGCAUAGUCGUGACUAUGCCGAUGAGAUUUCGGAUCUUUCCAAUGCUCUUGACGAAGAGCGUGGUCUUCGUUUGGCUCUUGAGGAGUCAUACAACGAUGAUCAUGCUAAGUUAAAGAAAGAUCUUGAUCAUGCUCUUGUUGUGUCUCGUGUGCUAAACUCCGAGAAGGCAAAACUUGGGGUUGAUCUUGCUAGACUUAAAGAGGAGUUUGACAUUCUCGACAAGGCUCACAAAGUCUUGAAGGGUGCCCAUGCUAGCCUCAAGGAGUCUCAUGAUCAACUCCAAGUAAUGCUAACUAAGGAGAAAGCCACCUUUCCUCAUAUGGUGUUAAUUGAUAAUGCAAAUGCUACUAACCCUUGUUGUGAGCAUGUGCAUCUUGUUGAGGAGAAUGCUAAGUUGAAGGAGCAACUUGAGAAAGGCCUUGUGUCAUGCAUACAAGGUGAGAAGAACCUCAACGACCUUUUGAGAAACCAAAAGGAAGUUGUAGCCAAGGAGGGGAUUGGGUUCGCUCCCAAGCCCAAGAACAAGAAGAAGAAUGACAAGACCAAACGACCUCCCCCUCUCAAGCAAACUUUUGUGAAGGAGGGAGAG
This 735-nucleotide ribosomal RNA is filed under the name Triticum aestivum (bread wheat). RNAcentral's name for it is "partial small subunit ribosomal RNA". Lineage: Eukaryota; Viridiplantae; Streptophyta; Magnoliopsida; Poales; Poaceae. The record is from RNAcentral.